RNAcentral lists this non-coding RNA (30 nucleotides) under Rattus norvegicus (Norway rat). The record is from RNAcentral. Lineage: Eukaryota; Metazoa; Chordata; Mammalia; Rodentia; Muridae.
UCCUAGAUUUAGUUGACUUUAUGUUGGUUU